This 497-nucleotide ribosomal RNA is filed under the name uncultured bacterium. Its description in RNAcentral is "partial 16S ribosomal RNA". It matches the Rfam family "Bacterial small subunit ribosomal RNA", at positions 28 to 507 of the family's 1533-position model. The record is from RNAcentral.
GAUGAACGCUGGCGGCGUGCCUAAUACAUGCAAGUCGGGCGAACGGACGAGAAGCUUGCUUCUCUGAUGUUAGCGGCGGACGGGUGAGUAACACGUGGAUAACCUACCUAUAAGACUGGGAUAACUUCGGGAAACCGGAGCUAAUACCGGAUAAUACUUUGAACCGCAUGGUUCAAAAGUGAAAGACGGUCGUGCGGUCACUUAUAGAUGGAUCCGCGCUGCAUUAGCUAGUUGGUAAGGUAACGGCUUACCAAGGCAACGAUGCAUAGCCGACCUGAGAGGGUGAUCGGCCACACUGGAACUUGGACACCCUCCAUACUCCUACGGGAGGCAGCAGUAGGGUAUCUUCCGCAAUGGGCGAAAGCCUGGCGGAGCAACGCCGCGUGAGUGAUGAAGGUCUUCGGAUCGUAAAACUCUCUUAUUAGUGAUGAACAUAUGUGUAAGUAACUGUGCACAUCUUGACGGUACCUAGUCAGAAAGCCCCGGCUAACUACGUG